Molecule: non-coding RNA, 3700 nt
Organism: Thamnophis sirtalis
Lineage: Eukaryota; Metazoa; Chordata; Lepidosauria; Squamata; Natricidae
Source: RefSeq, a predicted model, not a curated record
CUUGGACUCUCCUUUGCAGCACCCUGAAAACGACCCUUCAGGUAAGUCAAUGGUCCUUCUACUCAAAAAGGCCAAAGCAAUUUACAAACAAGGAAUGCAGUAAAAUGAAAACUGUCAUAAACUGUAACUAAGGCAAACAUGCAACAGCCACAGCUUUCCAUCCUGAAGCGGGUUUGGGUUUCCUUUUCCAUCUCUUCCUAAAGCUUUCUAGAAAAAAGACAGAUGAUUACUCCCAUCAGACCCUGUUAACAUCCUGACUUGGGAGAUGGGCAGCCUUUUGGUGGCCCUAGUCCCUUGGCCUAGGGGCAGAGAAUGAGGGCUUUUCCUGUGAGACAGGAGCUCUGGCAAGGCAAUCGAGACUUCUGUGUCAGUGCACAUCAAGGAAUGUCCGUGUUCUCAUUCGGAGACGGUUGCCUGGCUGUUGCAUUUAUACUUCUGUGAAUGUUAAUUUUAUGGAUAGAGAUACUCAAACAACAAUGUGCCCAGCAGGAAGUGGGAUCAACCAAACAGCAUCCGGGAGGCACAUCACACAACUUAUAGUUGAGAUUUGGGAGGUGUGUGCAUUGGGCUGUCUACAACCAUCUGCAACCUGUGCUUACAACAUCAGCCCCUUCGCAAUGUAACAGUUGCAGACAAGUCUAAAUCCAGCUUUAAUGUUCAGCUCUGCUUUUUGGAAAGCAUUGAAUUGUUUCAGUUUCUGACUUAGGGAAUUUGUUAUACUAGUGGCAUAACAAUAGCUUUUUGUGAGGCCUUUAUUUUCUGCAGCUAGAAGAUAAGAUCCCAAACAGCAUCCCAUGGAAUUGUAUGUACUGAUCAAGUUUUAAAGCCUUUAAUGGGCUCUGGGUGCCAUGUGCUUCUCCACAGGGGCUGUUUGCCCGUCGGCGACAGCUGCUGCUCACGGAAGGGCCACACUUAUACUAUGUUGAUCCUGUCAACAAAGUCCUGAAAGGGGAGAUUCCUUGGUCACUCGAACUCCGACCAGAAGCAAAGAACUUCAAGACCUUUUUUGUCCACACACCUAACAGGACGUACUACCUGAUGGACCCAAGUGGGAAUGCUCAUAAGUGGUGCAAAAAGAUACAAGAGGUUUGGCGACACAGAUAUCACCAGAAUGCUGCGAAAUGAGACUGCCCCUCAGUGCCCAUCUCACUCCUUUGCUGCUAGAGUGCCACGUGCCCCCAGACGGAGGACUCUUCCACGCCCGGCUCACCUCCAGCUCCAGGGCCGAACUACCUCUUCUGAGGAGGAGGAGGAGGAGGAGGAGGAAAAGCCCAGCCAGUGGAAUUCAGGGUUGCUUUGCUUGCUUUUGUGCUUCUGGUGGAGCUUCUACACCCCCACCCCCACACUCACAUUCUGCUGAAACUGAUUAUGUUGGCUUCUGCUGCAAACAAGUGGAGUUUGCAUUGCUGGCUUUGCCCUAGACCAGUUAAGGUAGCCAGGCCCAGAUCAUGUCGGGCCUGGAUUAUUACUGUGAUCUUCUGAUUUAUCAUGCAACUGUGUUUUGGGGAGCUUAGGAAUCUCUCUUCGUGAGAAGUUGCCACCCUUGAUGCUGCUGCCAUCACUUUCCUUUCUAACUAACCGUUGGUUCUUUGGUAUCCAGCACUUGCCAUCACUCUGGGUGUAAACCCACAAAAUUCUCCAGGUCGUGUCCAGUUGCAGGAUCUCCAAGGAUGGUACUUCUAAUGCCUGCCAGCCUAUCUGCCUUCAAGAUGCACUCCGGCACAUAUAGAAAGUGAGAGGAAUGAUGAACGUGAUCCUUGAAAUUCUGGCAUUCUAGUAUCAGACAUUUUUAAAACAUGGAAUUUUAAUUUGAUGCAUUUACAUGUUUAACUGAGCAUAAAAAGUUACCAGCAUGAUUUUAACUAAUACUAAAGGUGAACUAGUUAGGACAAAAUCAUAUUGACGUCAUGAAUAGACUCUUCACUUUUUCAGAAGAGGGAGCAAACGGUUUUCUUUCCAAGGUCUGGCAGGGCAAAGGGUUGCCUUUUGUGUGGCAGGAAGGCCAAACAAAAUGCUGUUGUACGACUGAUUUGAUUUGUUGUCUCUUUGUAUAAUGAGGUGUACAAAUAUUCCUGUAUUGUUCAUUGGCCAAGCAUUGUACCUUUUAGCAACUUUGAAAAUAUUUUACAUGAUUUAAAUAUAUUUAAGCCCCUCUAUUAAUUGGACUAAUUGUUGUGUUCAUGUAAAAAUGUUGAUACAGAGGAGGGGAAAAAUGUAUGGUACUUGAGUCAUAUCUAUCAUAUGUUUCAUAUUGUUCUUUUGUCUUUUUCCAAUUAAACUGUCACGCUCAAACAUUUCUUGAAAUAGAGGCGAGGUGUUGUUUCCUCACCCCAAGAAUCCUUCCCUUUGUGCAGGGUUGGAUCUGGACUGUCUCACCACCCCCAUUUCUAUUCCUGUCUCCUUUACAUGCGGAGAAUAGGAAAUUAGCAAGCAAUGGCCGAUAUGGCUUUUCCCAAUCCAACAGAUGAAGAUGUUGAUGCCUCUGUUCAAAGGGAUAUUUCUUGUGCAGCACAGAAGUGGCCUCUUCUGGCAGGAGCCCACGUGGAGGUUGGCCAUGGCAAUGUCAGGACAUUCUGGGUUUGGGGCUGUUCUACUGUAGGAGGACUUUGGGCAAUGAGAAAAGCCUUUAUUUUACUCUCCCUGCACCCUCCCCCCUCCGGCGGGUGGGCAAGCAGUCAGAUACACGUAGCCUGAACGAGAUCCUACCAAAACCCUAAACCAGGUAGGGAUUUAGGGAGCAAAAGGUUGAGUUUCCUUUGUGUUAUUGUAUUGUAUGAUGGAAUGAGGGUGGGGUUGGGGAGUUAGCGCUCAAACUGGAUUUGCACAUUGCUGAUAAUUUUCAUUUCUUUAUUUCAAUCAAUGAAGAAAUCAGAAAUGUCCUGGGGAAUUGGGCAGGUUUAGGGUAGAAUUCAGUUCAUUACUGUACCACUUUGGAACAAAUUUGAAACAAAAUGCAAGUGUUGACAGUCCUAUAAAUGGGUGAAGGGAAUUUAUGGGAAUUAAUGCUGGCCUUACUUCAAAAAUUAUGUAGAAGGUGGGAUUUGGUCCUCAUGUAAGCACAGCAUUUGUCUCCUUUUAAUAAAAAUGUCGUGGCGCUCUCCCCCCUCCCCCUCCCAAUUUUGUGCACAUGACUGAGGGGCAAAAUAGCACAGCUACUUUAAAAGUUGCAUGGUUUAAUAGAAGUUGAUUCAUUUAAAGAAGAGGCAUUUGGGCAGCAUAGAAGCCAGGAAUAAGUCCAGUCUAUUUUACUGAAUAGCACAGAGGUGCUGAGCUGCAUUAGUCCUGAAGAGCAUGAGGAGAGAAAAGGUUGGAUGAUCAGUUCCUACUGUGGAACAUGUUCAAAGUGACUCCCUACCUCCAGAUUCCGCCAGGCUAUGGGACAUCAUAGUAAAAGGCCUGACCAGUCCUGCAGCUGGUCCCUAUUAGGUUGUUGUGAAUCCAGGAAAGAACUGAACUUUCCCACUGUCCGAUAAUCUCUUCAAAAAUGAAUAGCAAUUCUGUUUCAAAGAAGUAAAAAAAGUAAACUUUAUUUUAUUCCAAAUGUACAAAACAUUUACAACUGUACAGUGUUGCUUAAAAGUUUGUAAAUUCUUCUGGAUUUUCAAUGUUUCUGCAUAAAUAUGACCUAAAACGUGAUCUGUUUUCCAUAUAAAUCCUAAAACUAGUUGAGAACCCAAUUAAACAAAUUAGUAAAAAGCAA